Molecule: ribosomal RNA, 411 nt
Filed under: bacterium enrichment culture clone ALO1_GLFRUDD03FOEB8
Lineage: Bacteria
Description: bacterial SSU rRNA
Rfam family: Bacterial small subunit ribosomal RNA
Source: RNAcentral
GAGUUUGAUCGUGGCUCAGAUUGAACGCUGGCGGCAUGCCUUACACAUGCAAGUCGAACGGCAGCACGGGAGCUUGCUCCUGGUGGCGAGUGGCGAACGGGUGAGUAAUGCAUCGGAACGUAUCCUGGAGUGGGGGAUAACGUAGCGAAAGUUACGCUAAUACCGCAUAUUCUGUGAGCAGGAAAGCGGGGGACCUUCGGGCCUCGCGCUCUUGGAGCGGCCGAUGUCGGAUUAGCUAGUUGGUGAGGUAAAGGCUCACCAAGGCGACGAUCCGUAGCAGGUCUGAGAGGAUGAUCUGCCACACUGGAACUGAGACACGGUCCAGACUCCUACGGGAGGCAGCAGUGGGAAUUUUGGACAAUGGGGGCAACCCUGAUCCAGCCAUGCCGCGUGAGUGAAGAAGGCCUUCGG